CUUUUAACAAAAAGAUGUAUGUUUCCCAUAUGGGAAACCGGAAAUGAAAGGGCAAUGCUUAUGAGUCAACUGUGCCAUGUCUAAACACUUCUUACUAGAAAAAUUAAUCCAGAAUUCUAGCCCUGCAGAGGAGAUCAAAGGAAAAGUUUUAGAAACUCUUUGACAGAUCUUCUGUGACUAAAAUAUAAAAUAACUUCUAUUGAGCAAUCAGAUGUGUGAACAUUGAGGCUUACUAAAAGGUCACUCUAUGGUCUUUCUUUUAAUAUCAUUUUAAUGAUCUCAUAAUAUGCAUACUUUUCACAGAGUUUUGGGAUCUGAUUAACGGAGUCUAUUUUCUGACCACCCUGCAUUCUCUGGCUAGCAUUAAAGGUACAAAAAAUUAGAAAUAAGUGUUAAAAGAUGUAAAAUAGAUGACUGAAAAAUAAUUGGACCAGCAUAUGGAUCUAGCUUGUUACUAGAUUCCAUGCCAUCUCUCCAUAAUUACUUAGAGUUCUUCCUGAUUGACCUUAGCUUCUUUCCCAUUGAGGCUAUGUGUCAAUUCAAAUCCAGAAACAAGCCAAGAAAUGCAAUUUUUCCCAAGCUGAAUACCUACUUCUUACAAAGCAAUUUUUUAGGAGUUACAUCAGCAUUAAAUAUAAUUAUUAACUUACUGAGAUAAUAUGAAAGAAAACAGGAAGAGUUACACACAUCAGAGCAUUUCAUGUUCUCGAAGUAAAAGAAUGUCAUGUGGGGCCUCUACUGGUUUUUUGCCUCCCACUCUAUACUAGGAGGAGUGGUUUUGAGACAAAGUGCUCUUAAGUCACUCUUGUUUUUUAGAAAUCUGUAAUGACUCCUUAGACACAAAACCUAUACAUCUCCUCUUCUUCUUCUCUAAAGCAUUUAUCUGUUUUUUCACCCCAUUAUUACUGAAUCCAAGAUCACCUAAUUGCCCUUAUGUCUAUUAUUACUCUACCUUAAAAUCCUCUCCCUUACAUUUGGUUUAAAUUUACUGCAAGAUUCUGCCUUCAGCAUUCUUUUCCUCAACCUUCUACAGCUGAUUCCCAGCUCAUUCCUCUGUUAAAGAAUCGUAAAUCAAUA
This 1077-nucleotide long non-coding RNA is filed under the name Marmota monax (woodchuck). The record is from RNAcentral. Lineage: Eukaryota; Metazoa; Chordata; Mammalia; Rodentia; Sciuridae.